Long non-coding RNA from Acinonyx jubatus (cheetah), 4853 nucleotides. RefSeq lists it as uncharacterized. NCBI's taxonomy places the organism in Eukaryota, Metazoa, Chordata, Mammalia, Carnivora, Felidae. The record is from RefSeq and is a predicted model, not a curated record. The transcript has 5 exons.
UCCCCCAUUCCUUCCUUCUCGCCUGGACUGAAUCUGACACCUUAGAGAGGACACGAUUUGUCCUUCUGCCUAUCGAUUCCGAAAAAGAGAGCAGCUCCCCAGUGCCAGGGCCCAGACAACCUGCCAGGCCAUCCCACUGGAUGGUCGACUCCUCCAUGCAGGGGUAGGAUCCCCUGUCACCAUCCUUGCCUUCAGCGCAAGGAACGGUGCCUGGCACAUACCUGUUGAAUGAAUGAGGCAAUGGAAGAAUUCUAGAAGCCCAGAAGCUUUGCUAUCACAUCAUCAGCAGGUUCAGCAAUGAGUCAUGAGUCAUCCCCUGACCUGGCGGAGCCCUUACGCCAGCUGCUGGGGGCAACUUGUGUGCAGAGAGUUAAAAGAAACUGGUCCAAAGUCACAGGUCUGGGAAGGGGCAGAACCAGGAUUUGAACCCAGGCCUAUGGACUCCUGAGCCUGAGUGGCAGGUCUGUCGGUGAGGCCUCAGCCAGGCCAUCGACCUCUCUCAGGGUGCCUGUCCUUCCAUCUCUGAAAGAGCUGCUGGCCCUCUGGGAAGGCUAGGAGCACGAGGCUGGAAACCCAUAGAGCCCUUCCCCGCCGCCUGCCAGCCACCCUCCCGAGCUGCAGCAGAAGCUAUAAAAAGCACAGCCGUUCAACAAUAGGUGACAUCACCCAGCGGCGGAAAGAACUGGAUUCUGCCAGAUGCCAGGGAGAGUUAUGGCCCCUAUCUCUCCCUCAGGACGGGAGCCCCUCGGGAAAGGGCCUGGCGAGUGGCGCCCUUCUGCUGGUGAUGUUUCCGGAGCGGCACAGAGACCAGCAGGCAUAUGCUGGGCACAGACCUCCUUUCCCCCUCACAGCGGCUGCCAGAGACACGGAUCACUCUUGCCGUUACCCAGAGGAGCAAAGCUGAGGCUCAGAGAGGGCACCGUCAUGCACCAUUGCAGCCUGCUUCUAUUUGUCCGUGAGCACCUGAGGACAGUACCUGUCUCUUGUCUCUGAUUGUCCAGCUCCUUACAAGCCCGGCACGCACUAUGUGCUAGGUAUAUGACCUGAAAGACAUCCUUCAAAGGGAAUUGAUUCCACAAAAGAUGGAGGAGGGGAGGGAAGGGAAGGGAAGUCCGUUUAAUGAAGGGAAGGAAAAUGACAGGCAGAAGCUGUGUUUCCAUUCCCAGGCUUUUUAAUGCUAGAUUUUUGGGGCAUCGGAGGAAAUAGGAAGGAUCUUCCCAGUCACCACCCAUUGGCUAAGAGUGGUUAGGUCCUCAGAGGCACCUUAGGUAGGUCGUACCUCCCUGCUUUAGGUUCCUCAACUGAAUAACGAAGAAGAGAGUCCUUUUUUGUAAAGCCUCUGUUCGCGUGCCCUCUGCCUCACCAGUACGGUGGGGUUAUUUCAGAACAUGUGUCCUGCUAUGACCUCUCCCCACCCACUUCCUGUCCGAAUCACCAUCGGCUCAUUUCCAGAUCAGCUGGGUUUUUUGUGACACGGCAACGGUGAGAUGGGUAGAGAAAAAACAGACCCAAGAGAAAGUGGCAAUGGUGGAGAAAGAGAGAGAGGAAAACAGCACCCGAGGGGUACUCAGGAGAGCUCCACUGACAUUGUGCAUUGUGGGAAAAUUACAGAAUGGACGAAAAGGGUCUGGGGUGUACCAACACCAGCUACAAAUGGUCCCCAUUGCCAUUUUAUGGGGGGAUGCAGUUAGAGCUGGAAAGCCUAUUUCAAUGACUUUUGGGCUGUCCGACUAUUUCUUUAAAACGAGACUCUAAGCAGAGACUGAGCCACAUGUGACCAUGGCUUUGGUCAGGGUUACACAUGAUCUUCUUUUGGCUCUCACACACCCUGUGAUUCAGGUAUGAGGACCUUCAGGCCCAGAGAGCUUAAGCAACUCACACGAGUUUACCCGGCGGAAGGCCAAUCAGGGGUUCCUGCCGAGGGGUAACCCUCAAGGCUAAGCUUUUCGAAGCCCACUCUGCUCAUUUUGGCCAACUCCCCUCGUGCAGUCUGACCUCUAAGGGCAGACAGGCACUGCGCUCUCUGCUCCCACAGCUCACACCCCCCUCUGACAGAGCCGUCCCUUACAUCUGAUCCCAAAGGCUGCAUCUGAGCGGUCCCCGAGCAAAUCUUCUGCAUUAAGCUUUUGGCGCCCAGCCCAGCCCAGCCCAGGCAAAUCUGAGGGGCACCGAAUCAGUCGAUAGGUGGCCAUCAGCUAAAAGCAGCUUCUGGCCAGCAGCCUGUGCGGGUGAUGCACCGGACGGACAGGUUAAGCGGCAUCACUGGAGUCCACUGAGAAUGGGGCGAGGUCAGAGCCCUGCACUGGGAAAGGAAUUCGUCUUUUUAAAGCUGAGAAUGAUCCUGAUGUAAUGUACACCCCAGGUGGACCUCGCCUUACACAAUGGACACAUUCCCCAGUGGGGUGGGGAAUUACGACUGUCAGGACUAAAUCACAUUGUUGCUUAUGUGAACGGUGACCCCCUAGGGUUGUGCAGUGUGUGACCUGGUUGGCUGCACAUAAUAGCAGCCCUCAAGGGAAGAUCCCCCCACUUUCGACCUGGCAACCCUGCUUUUCCUGUUUAUAUCGUAGGGUUCUACAUAACAUUUUGUUUGCAACACGAGUUCCACUGCUAAGAAAAAAUGUCUGAAAACCAUUGUUCUAUGGAGAAAUCAAGUAAAUUAAAAAACACAAUUAUUAACCCCAGGAAGAAGGCUGUAUAAGAAAGCGAAUGUAAAUCAUAGUGAUAAUGAUUUAUGUACAACAUUUACAUAGUCGUAAUAAUAUAAAUCCUGAAUAUUUAUUUAAACAAGAGUUACACUAUAACAUACUGGGAGCACAGAGGUAGGGAAAGUGCGUGUGCGUGUGUGUGUGUGUGUGUGUAGUAAGAGGGGAGACUGAGCUGGAAGAGAGCCAGAUCCUCAAAUUCCAUAAUAGGAAGUCAACACACAAUGUCUAAGAUUUAAAAAAAAUCCAGACAAGGCAGUGAAAGCAUAUAAUUAAGAAAUAGGGGGAUAAGUGCAAAAAGAAACAGCUAAAAGCAAGGAACAGAGUUCCCCUUGGGGUGUGUAGCAAAGGGGGAGAGGGAUUGGUUACAGACAGUCGUGUGCUGGUAACUGUUUAACUGGUUCUCCAAGGGAAAAAGGCCCUGGUUUGGAGCAUUUGCCAAUCCCAGUGGCAAAAAUAUUCCCACUACGCUAAUUGUAAUCUACCAGGGUGAUGUCACCAAAAGUAGAGUUGGAAAAGCCUCACAACAGACCCAUUACGUAAGCUUUCUACCAUGUGCGUAUAAUAGACACAAGUCUCCUCAAGAGCACAGAGAGUGGUAAAGUAACCAGGGAGUAAUGAGUUAUUAACAUUCAGUACCUCUGUUUCUGAUAUAAUUUAUUUAAUUGCAAGUUUGCGUAACUUGGUUUUUAAUAACGGCCAUGUUGACCAAUCGGCGUGGCAACAGGCUCUCACAAGCCGAUACAUGCCACUUGUACCCUAGACCUCAAAGUAGCCCUGGGCUUUAUGAACUCUGGACAAUUAUCACUCCAAUGGACACAAAAAUUAAAGCCCAAAUAAAUAAAAAAAAUGCACACACUAGGCGUUCUAAAGGAAGCUGGUUCUGUUGGGUUUUUUCUUACAUGGGAACAAUCCCCACCCCAGACCCCCCCCCAAACGCCACUGUUUUCUGUUCCAAUGUCUGUGAAGUCACAGACUGUGAAAUCAUGACCUGAGCCGAAGUCACUUAACCGAUCGAGCCCCCAAGGCGCCCCCUGUUCCCAUUUCUGUAUGGGGGGGGGGGGACGACUUGAGACCCAGCGCAGGUCUGGUUAGUAACUGCCACACCACACUGCCUUCUACACUCUCAUCCUGACACACUGAUGCUAACGGUGACCCCUCCUGAGAUCAAAUUUUAUCCUCACAUAACACCUUUUACAGCUGAGGGAGCGGAGGUUCAGAAAGCGUCUAAGGAGCAGAGUCAAGGCUUUUCAGUGUUUCAUAAUGUCAGCAUCACUGUGGAGAUGGUCAGUUCACAGAACUGCCCCCAUGGUAGGGGUCUAACCUGCCGUCUGGUCUUUGAACCUCAAAGAGCGCUUCAGCCUCAACAGAACUGAGGCACAGACCUUGCUCCCUGGGGUGAGGAGGGGAAGUCCGUUCCUUGGAGUCUCUAAUCCUAUAAUCACUAGGGAAAUCUUCAUGCCGUUGGUGCGGACCUUAUCCCGGAAGCCUCAAAGAACAAAUCCAGCCCCUGCACGGAGACAGACCUUCAACAUCAAAUGUGGGGUGGCGGCUGCCAUCCACCCUGAGUCUUUUCAAGGAGGAGCCAGGUUCUGGGGGGCGGCGGGUCGUGUCUCAAAUAUACCUCAUUGACCAAAAGACAGAGUUAGUAGGGGCUGGCACACAGGCCUCUCUGUGUGGUGGAAGGGGGUGUGAAGUAGGGCAACCUUCCUGCAGGUGCAUUUGACCUAGUCUCGCAAAGACUUUUGAAAGGUUCAUAGCCUUUGGCCAAUAACUCCACUCUGGGAACUCAUCCCAGGAAAAUCAGCAGCCAAGCACGCCAAGACGUUCACCGCAUGGUUAUUCAUCAUAGCAAACAGUAUAAUCAGUCCCCAUCGGUGGAGCACUGCCCAAAGGAGUUAUAGGACACCAACAUUACAGAAUAUUAUGAGGUCACUGAAAAUCGUAUUUUCAAAGAAUAUUUAAUGACUUGGGAAUUUCUCAAGAACUAAUGGUUAGUGAAACAGUCAGAAGCAAGUUAUACCCAUACAGCGUUCCCCAUCUAUUAAAAAACACAUAGUGGGGCGCCUGGGUGGCUCAGUCAGUUGAGCAUCUGACUUUAGCCCAGCUCACGAUCUCACAGCUCGUGAGUUUGAGCCCCGCGUCGGG